Molecule: small nuclear RNA, 142 nt
Filed under: Echinops telfairi (small Madagascar hedgehog)
Lineage: Eukaryota; Metazoa; Chordata; Mammalia; Afrosoricida; Tenrecidae
Description: U1 spliceosomal RNA (ENSETEG00000022047.1)
Rfam family: U1 spliceosomal RNA
About the family: U1 is a small nuclear RNA (snRNA) component of the spliceosome (involved in pre-mRNA splicing).
Source: RNAcentral
GAAAUUUGAUGUCAGCUGGUUUUCCCAGGGCGAGGCUUAUCCGUUGCACUCUGGCUGGGCUGACCCCUGCGAUUUCCCCAAAUAUGGGAAACUCAACUGCAUAAUUUGUGGUAGUGGGGGACUGCGUUCGCACUCUCCCCUA